RNAcentral lists this ribosomal RNA (450 nucleotides) under uncultured bacterium. RNAcentral's name for it is "bacterial SSU rRNA". It matches the Rfam family "Bacterial small subunit ribosomal RNA", at positions 355 to 796 of the family's 1533-position model. The record is from RNAcentral.
UGGGGAAUUGUUCGCAAUGGGCGCAAGCCUGACGACGCAACGCCGCGUGGAGGAUGAAGAUCUUCGGGUCGUAAACUCCUUUCGAUCGAGACGAACGGCUUCCGGGUGAACAAUCCGGGAGAGUGACGGUACCGAGAGAAGAAGCCCCGGCUAACUCCGUGCCAGCAGCCGCGGUAAUACGGGGGGGGCAAGCGUUGUUCGGAAUUACUGGGCGUAAAGGGCUAGUAGGUGGCUAACUAAGUCAGACGUGAAAUCCCUCGGCUUAACCGAGGAAUGGCGUCUGAUACUGGAUAGCUUGAGUUUGGGAGAGGGAUGCGGAAUUCCAGGUGUAGCGGUGAAAUGCGUAGAUAUCUGGAGGAACACCGGUGGCGAAGGCGGCAUCCUGGACCAAUACUGACACUGAAUAGCGAAAGCCAGGGGAGCAAACGGGAUUAGAUACCCCCGUAGUCC